Long non-coding RNA from Cucumis melo (muskmelon), 2049 nucleotides. RefSeq lists it as uncharacterized. NCBI's taxonomy places the organism in Eukaryota, Viridiplantae, Streptophyta, Magnoliopsida, Cucurbitales, Cucurbitaceae. The transcript is spliced from 2 exons. The record is from RefSeq and is a predicted model, not a curated record.
GAGAGAAGGGUGAAACUUGGAAUUAAUCAAAGAAGAGAAAAGAGGGAAAUUAUUUUAUAAAUAGGAAAAGAAAAGGAAAAGAAAAGGAAAAGAAAAGGAAAAGAAAAGAGAAGAGGGAGAGAAGAAAACCCUAGCCGCGCCGCCGCCGCCGCCGCGAGCCACCGCCGCCGCCGCCGUCGCGAAACCCUAGCCGCCUACCCACGCCACACGCACAGCCGCGCCAGAAUUCGUCCAAGCUUCCUCGCACGCCGAAGCCGAGUCGAAGCCGUCCAUUCACGCGUCUGCAAGACGACUGGAAGCCGAAGCCACCCCUCGCGCCGCUUCGAUCCGAGGCAGAUCAGCCGAAACUCGUCGCCGAGAUCCAUCUCCACGUCGAAGCCGCGUCGCCAGCCGAACGCGUCUGCAAAUCGGAGCCGCGAACGCGCCUACACCCGAGCCGCACCGAAGCCGCGAACGCGCCUGCCUCCAGCCGACGGACGAAACCGAACCCGGAACCACCACCCGCGCGUCCGAACCCGGAACCGCCCGCGCGCCCGAAACCGAAACCCGCGUCCGCGCCACACGUGCCCAGCUCUCCCCGCGUGCAGCCGCGCCGCGCCGUGCGUUCCGCGUAGCCGAGCCGCGCCCCCUCCCUGUAGCAAGCCGAGCCGCACGCGAAGUCCCUGUACCGAGCCGAGCCGCGCCUACGCCAAGCCGAGCCGGUCCUGUCUUCUUCCAGUCGAGCCGCCAAGCCUGUUUUGGCUCCUUCCACCUAAAUUUUUGAAGCAAAUUGGACCAAAUAGCUGCUGCAGCUUAGGACUUCCUCAGUAGGAACUCAUCUAGCAACAUCUCGAGGUAAGAGAUUUCUACUACUAGCCCCAUGUGAGAAUUUGAUGUUGCAUGUUCCUUCAGUGACAUACGAUGAUGGUUGGGCUUACGAUGUAUGAUAAUAUUUUAUCAUGAUCUGACGAAUGACAUGGCCAUACUUUGGCAUAAUAUUAUAGUAAUGAGAACCCUCGAACCAUAUGUGACUGUAUGAUAAGACUGAUGGACUUAUGAUGUAUGUGACUGUAUGGUAAGACUGAUGGACUUAUGAUGUAUGUGACUGUAUGAUAGGACUGAUGGACUUAUGAUGUAUGUGACUGUAUGAUAGGACUGAUGGACUUAUGAUGUAUGUGACUGUAUGGUAAGACUGAUGGACUUAUGAUGUAUGUGACUGUAUGAUAGGACUGAUGGACUUAUGAUGUAUGUGACUGUAUGAUAGGACUGAUGGACUUAUGAUGUAUGUGACUGUAUGAUAAGACUGAUGGACUUAUGAUGUAUGUGACUGUAUGAUAAGACUGAUGGACUUAUGACGUAGGUGACUGUAUAAUGAGGACUAUUAGUGACUGUUUGAUGAUAGCUGUAGUGGGGGAUGAGAUGGUGGUUAUUUUCUGAUGAUAAUUUGAUGACGUAUGCAUAUGUAUGUUGGGAUUGGGGUAUCUGUUAACUUCUCCUAUCUGAGUCGUACCUGCAUGGGUGUCCUUCGGGAUCACCACCUAUUUAGGACUGUUAGGCUCGACGGGGCGCCAGUCCAGCAUGACUAUAGAUAUGACUCGAGCGACUCGACGGGGUCCUCGCAUCCCGACGGUCCUAAGUGUCCCCUGGACACCGAAGACCAGAGUUAUGUCCCUACGGGGCGCAUGUUGCACGUGUUCGGGAGCGUGCCAGAGAUUGGGUACUAGUUUCAGGACUCGAUAGGAAUGUUAACAGGCACCUAGUGGGACUAGUAGUGGGUCCCUUACUGAGUAUUUUUAUACUCAUUCUCUUCAUUUUAUGUUUUCAGGUAGAGGACGAGGUAAGGGCAAGGGCAAACUGGCGAGCGACUCGAAGUGAGACCGUGAAGGGCCAUAGGGACUACCGCUUCCGCUUAUCUUUAUUUCAGAUUUUCGCACUUGAGUUCGAGUACUUUCAUUAUUUACCAUCUUUAUGUAGAUAGGGCCCGCUUAGGGAUUUUAAACUUAACUCGUAUUUCUACAUGUUACUUUAACUAUCUUUCAUAAAUAAAUUUGCUAGAUUUCUUUGCAUUUA